Molecule: ribosomal RNA, 253 nt
Filed under: uncultured bacterium
Lineage: Bacteria
Description: partial 16S ribosomal RNA
Rfam family: Bacterial small subunit ribosomal RNA
Source: RNAcentral
UACGGAGGGUGCAAGCAUUAAUCGGAUUUAUUGGGCGUAAAGGGCGCGUAGGCGGGUUUGUAAGUCAGAUGUGAAAUUCCGAAGCUCAACUUCGGAGCUGCAUUUGAAACUACAAGUCUAGAGGAGUGGCGGAGAAAAUGGAAUUCCACGUGUAGCGGUGAAAUUCGUAGAUAUGUGGAAGAACACCAGUGGCGAAAGCGGUUUUCUAGCUUAUUCCUGACGCUGAGGCGCGAGAGCAAGGGGAGCAAACAGG